UGAUGUGAAAUGAGCUUAAAGAGAGAUGUGAGUUAAGGAGGAGCUUGACGAGCGACGUGAGCUUGAAGAGCGACGUGAGCUUGAAGAGCGAUGUGAGCCAGAGGAGCUUGACGAGUGAUGUCAGCUAAUUACGAGGAUCUUGACGGGCAAUGUGGAGUGAGAUGAAGCUUGGAGGGCGAUGUCAAGCUUGAAGGAAGAUGCAAAUCAUGAUGCCAAGCUUAACGGGCGAUGCGAAUCAUGAUACCAUGCUUGAUGGGCGAUGCAAAGUGUGAUUCCAAGCUCAAGGGGCGAUACAAACAAGAUGCCAAGCUUAAGGGGCGAUGCGAAGCAAGAUGUCUUCAUUGAAAGGCGAUGUGAAGUAAAGAAAAGGAAAGAAGUGGACCCCAUGGGCCAAGAAGAGUGCUUGGUGGGCGAUGCAAAGCAAGGAGAGAGUGAUUGGAGGGCGAUACUGAAGAGAGAGGAGAAAGGAGGUGGGUCCCAUGAGUAAUGAAGCCUUUCUAUUGUUCAUUUCUUUUCUCUGUUGAUCGUUUAAUAUACUUUCAAAACUGUUUUGUUUGUGUUACGCAAGUUUUUCCGCAAAGAUUUUUUGAAUGUUUUUUGGCGGAAGAUUAUCUCGUAGAUUUUGUUACGAAAGCUUUUCCGCGGAAAUAUUCUGAAUUUCAUUUUACAGAAGAUUGUUUCGUAAAGACUCGUUUUACGAAAAAAAUUCCGCAAAAACUUCUUGAAAGCCGUUUUAUGAAAGAUUGU
This 747-nucleotide long non-coding RNA is filed under the name Brassica napus (rape). RNAcentral's name for it is "long non-coding RNA (BNAP_LNC020493)". Lineage: Eukaryota; Viridiplantae; Streptophyta; Magnoliopsida; Brassicales; Brassicaceae. The record is from RNAcentral.